UAAAGAAAAGAGGUUUCAUUGGCUCUUGAUUCUGCAGGUUGUACAGGAAGCAUGGUGCUGGCAUCUGCUUCCGAUGAGGGCCUCAGGGAGCUUACAAUCAUGGUGGAAGACGAAGGGGAGCCAAUGUUUCACAUGUUGAGAGUGAGAGCAAGAGAGAGGGAGGGGAGGCAGCCACACACUUUUAAACAACCAGAUUUUUUUUUUUUUUUAGAUGGAGUCCUGCUCUGUUGCCCAGGCUGGAGUGCAGCAGCGUGAUCUCGGCUCACUGCAACCUCCACCUCCCAGGUUCAAGCGAUUCUCCUGCCUCAGGCUCCUGAGUAGCUGCGAUUACAGGCGCGUGCCACCAUGCCCGGCUAAUUUUUGUAUUUUUAGUAGAGGCAGGGUUUCACCAUGUUGGUCAGGCUAGUCUCGAACUCCUGACAUCGUGAUCCACCCGCCUCGGCCUCCUAAAGUGCUGGGAUUACAGGCGUGAGCCACCCUGCCUGGCCUAAGCAACCACAUCUUGCAUGAACUAACUGAGCGAGAACUCACUUAUCACUGAAGGGAUGGCGCUACACCAUUCACGAGGGGCUAUUCCCAUGAUCCAAUCACCUCCCACCAGGCCCCACCUCCAACAGUGGGGAUCACAUUUCAACAUGAGAUUUGGAGAGGACAAACAUCCAAACGAUAUCAGGCUGAAAACACGGCUGGCACUUGAAACUUUAGAGAAGUCACCUUUUCCCUGGGCUCCUCGCUCUGGUCUCCCUGAGACUGUCACAGCGGCUUCAUAGGUGCUUCGAGUUUCUUUGCCACCCCCUGAUCAGGCCUUCUGUGUUUUGUAGUAGUCGCCUUCCCAGAUUUAUUGAGUAGCUCAGCUGAACCAAGGUCUGAGCAUUCAAUUAGGUCUUGUUAUUCAUCCGUUCACCAAAUAUUUAGUGAGCCAUGUGCCAGGCACAUUUCUAGCUGCUGAUACAGCUGUGAACAAGACAGAUGAAGCCCUUGCCCUUCGUGGAGCUCACAUUUUAAUAAAUAGUUUGGAGGCGGACAAAGAGAAAAUAAACAGAGAAACACGAACCUGGAGCAUUUGGCUCACAACUUAGAGUUGACUCAUCUUCAGUUUGACGUCCCUCCUGCUACGAGUUCCUGGCUAACUGACAUCUCUUCUCCUCAAGCAGAUGCUAACUUUGAGCCCUACCACUGAUGGCAUUUGAGGGGGAGAGGAUAAGCCAAGGGAAGAGGAAAAUCAAAAUGCUUUCAGCAGCACGGCUUCCGCAUGCUGGAGAGGUGGUGUAUGGGGUUGCGGCUUGGCCUGUUUUCUGAAACCUGCAAGGUAGCACCCUGAAGGUAGCUUGUAACCCUCCACUCUCACACCAAGGAAGCAGACCACAGCCCAAUACCGUGUGGUGCAACUGUGAAGUCCAGAACUGCUGGAUUUUCUGAAAUCAAAUGAGGACGAUGCCGGAGAAUUACUUCCAUCUCAUGAGGAGUCACUAAUUGGGAUCUUGAGUGAGUUAGCUCGGUUCUCAGCCAAAGAGAUGAUCCAUAGGCAGGAGGCAUGAUGGGAGUUUCCAAAAGUGGACCUUUUGAAGAACAAAGAAUCAAGAGAGACCCUUGGGAUAGCUGAUGAAGGCCUUGAACCUUUUUGCCAAAAUGACCCUGUUUAUGAUGGUGUGUGAAAGUCAAGGGUGAAUUGGAGGCUGUUGUGUCUCUAGAUGAUUUGGUCGGGGAAAAGAAAAGCUUUGAACUCCCAACCAAACUUGUCAGCACUUUGUUACUGCUAAGAGUGGUGCACAGUUGCACUUAGAAACUCCAUUUUCUUAAAUAUGAAAUGACUUAUUUUUUCCCCAGCUUCAUUGAAGUAUGGUUCAACAGAAAAAUUGUAUAUAUUUGAGCUAUACAAUGUUUGAUGUAUGUAUACAUUGUGAAAUAAUUAGGACAAUCAAGCUAAUUGACAUAUCCAUCACCUCACAUAGUUACCAUUUUGUGUGUGGUAAGAACACUUGAUAUUUAUUCUCUUAGCAAAUGUAUACAAUACAGUAUUAUUAACUACAGUCAUCAUUCUGUAUAUUAGAUCUCCAGAACUUAUUCAUCCUUCAUAACUGAAACUGUACCCUUUGACCAACAUCCCAUUUACUCCGUGUCCCAGCCCUUGGCAGCCACCAUUCUACUCUGUUUCUUUUUGAGAUGGAGUCUUGCUCUGUUGCUGAGGCUGGAGUGCAGUGGUGCCAUCUUGGCUCACUGCAACCUCUGCCUCCUGGGUUCAAGCAAUUCUCU
This 2253-nucleotide long non-coding RNA is filed under the name Homo sapiens (human). RNAcentral describes it as "HSALNT0281655". Lineage: Eukaryota; Metazoa; Chordata; Mammalia; Primates; Hominidae. The record is from RNAcentral.